This 72-nucleotide transfer RNA is filed under the name Ovis aries (sheep). It matches the Rfam family "tRNA". From Rfam's summary of the family: Transfer RNA (tRNA) molecules are approximately 80 nucleotides in length. Their secondary structure includes four short double-helical elements and three loops (D, anti-codon, and T loops). Lineage: Eukaryota; Metazoa; Chordata; Mammalia; Artiodactyla; Bovidae. The record is from Rfam by way of RNAcentral.
UCCCUGGUGGUCCAGUGGCUAAGACUCUGUGCUCCCAAUGCAGUGGCCCAAGUUCGAUCCCUAGUCAGGGAA